CCUGGUGUUUAUGAGGCUAUGGAACCACUCCGACCCAUCUCGAACUCGGAAGUGAAACGUAGCGCUGGCGAAGAUACUUUGGGGGUAGCCCCAUGUGAAAAUAGCUCAAUGCCAGGA
RNAcentral lists this ribosomal RNA (117 nucleotides) under Okeania sp. SIO3I5. Lineage: Bacteria; Bacillati; Cyanobacteriota; Cyanophyceae; Oscillatoriales; Microcoleaceae. The record is from RNAcentral.